UACGAACUGUGCGAACGUUAUUCGGAAUCACUGGGCUUACAGGGUGCGUAGGCGGCCGAACAAGUCAGGUGUGAAAGCCCUCGGCUCAACCGAGGAACUGCGCUUGAAACUGUUUGGCUCGAGUCAGCUAGAGGUACACGGAACUUCCAGUGGAGCGGUGAAAUGUGUUGAUAUUGGAAGGAACACCGGAGGCGAAAGCGGUGUACUGGGGCUGGUCUGACGCUGAGGCACGAAAGCCAGGGGAGCGAACGGGAUUAGAACCUCGU
Molecule: ribosomal RNA, 266 nt
Filed under: uncultured bacterium
Lineage: Bacteria
Description: partial 16S ribosomal RNA
Rfam family: Bacterial small subunit ribosomal RNA
Source: RNAcentral